AAUAAAAUACCUUAAAUUUUAAAGGGUUACUCUGAUACAGUAAAUAUGAAUAAAUAUUUUCUUUUAUUA
This 69-nucleotide transfer RNA is filed under the name Didesmococcus koreanus. Its description in RNAcentral is "tRNA-Ile". The record is from RNAcentral. Lineage: Eukaryota; Metazoa; Arthropoda; Insecta; Hemiptera; Coccidae.